GACAGAGGUGCCAAGCGUUAGGCGGAAUCACUGGGCUUAAAGCGUGUGUAGGCGGACUUCUAAGUACCUUGUGAAAUCCCACGGCUCAACCGUGGAACUGCUUGGUAUACUGGUUUUCUUGAGCCACUUAGGGGCUGUCGGAACAAGCGGUGGAGCGGUGAAAUGCGUAGAUAUCAGGAGGAACACCGAUGGCGAAGGCAGCUCGCUGGGACGGUACUGACGCUGAGGCGCGAAAGCGUGGGGAGCAAACAGG
RNAcentral lists this ribosomal RNA (253 nucleotides) under uncultured bacterium. RNAcentral describes it as "partial 16S ribosomal RNA". It matches the Rfam family "Bacterial small subunit ribosomal RNA", at positions 524 to 776 of the family's 1533-position model. The record is from RNAcentral.